GUGGGGAAUAUUGGACAAUGGGCGAAAGCCUGAUCCAGCCAUGCCGCGUGUGUGAAGAAGGUCUUCGGAUUGUAAAGCACUUUAAGUUGGGAGGAAGGGCAGUAAGUUAAUACCUUGCUGUUUUGACGUUACCAACAGAAUAAGCACCGGCUAACUUCGUGCCAGCAGCCGCGGUAAUACGAAGAGUGCAAGCGUUACUCGGAAUUACUGGGCGUAAAGCGCGCGUAGGUGGUUCAGCAAGUUGGAGGUGAAAUCCCCGGGCUCAACCUGGGAACUGCCUCCAAAACUACUGAGCUAGAGUACGGUAGAGGGUAGUGGAAUUUCCUGUGUAGCGGUGAAAUGCGUAGAUAUAGGAAGGAACACCAGUGGCGAAGGCGACUACCUGGACUGAUACUGACACUGAGGUGCGAAAGCGUGGGGAGCAAACAGGAUUAGAAACCCUAGUAGUCC
RNAcentral lists this ribosomal RNA (450 nucleotides) under uncultured bacterium. RNAcentral describes it as "partial 16S ribosomal RNA". It matches the Rfam family "Bacterial small subunit ribosomal RNA", at positions 354 to 796 of the family's 1533-position model. The record is from RNAcentral.